This 637-nucleotide ribosomal RNA is filed under the name uncultured bacterium. RNAcentral's name for it is "bacterial SSU rRNA". It matches the Rfam family "Bacterial small subunit ribosomal RNA", at positions 607 to 1244 of the family's 1533-position model. The record is from RNAcentral.
GCUUAACCGAGGAAUUGCAUCGGAAACUGUUUUUCUUGAGUGCAGAAGAGGAGAGUGGAACUCCAUGUGUAGCGGUGGAAUGCGUAGAUAUAUGGAAGAACACCAGUGGCGAAGGCGGCUCUCUGGUCUGCAACUGACGCUGAGGCUCGAAAGCAUGGGUAGCGAACAGGAUUAGAUACCCUGGUAGUCCAUGCCGUAACCGAUGAGUGCUAAGUGUUGGGAGGUUUCCGCCUCUCAGUGCUGCAGCUAACGCAUUAAGCACUCCGCCUGGGGAGUACGACCGCAAGGUUGAAACUCAAAGGAAUUGACGGGGGCCCGCACAAGCGGUGGAGCAUGUGGUUUAAUACGAAGCAACGCGAAGAACCUUACCAGGUCUUGACAUCUAGUGCCAUCCUAAGAGAUUAGGAGUUCCCUUCGGGGACGCUAAGACAGGUGGUGCAUGGCUGUCGUCAGCUCGUGUCGUGAGAUGUUGGGUUAAGUCCCGCAACGAGCGCAACCCUUAUUAUUAGUUGCCAGCAUUAAGUUGGGCACUCUAAUGAGACUGCCGGUGACAAACCGGAGGAAGGUGGGGAUGACGUCAAGUCAUCAUGCCCCUUAUGACCUGGGCUACACACGUGCUACAAUGGGCAGUACAACG